Molecule: ribosomal RNA, 1676 nt
Filed under: Henneguya loretoensis
Lineage: Eukaryota; Metazoa; Cnidaria; Myxozoa; Bivalvulida; Myxobolidae
Description: SSU rRNA
Rfam family: Eukaryotic small subunit ribosomal RNA
Source: RNAcentral
AGUGCGCGUAGGCUCUUUUUAAAGACUAAGCCAUGCACGUGAUAAGUUCAUACAUUGUAAAUGUGAGACUGCGGACGGCUCAGUACAUCAGUUAUAAUCUGCUCGAUUGUUCAGGUUAGUGGAUAACCGUGGGAAAUCUAGAGCUAAUACAUGUACCUCUGGUGGGGCAACCCAUCUGGCAUUUAUUAGAGCGAUACCAACCGUGUGAGCAAUCACACGAGGUGAAUCUAGAUAACUUUGCAGAUCGUAUGGCCUUGAGCUGACGACAUUUCGAUUGAGUUUCUGCCCUAUCAACCAGUUGCAAGUGUAAGGUACUUGCAAAGUGUCAACGGGUGACGGGGGAUCAGGGUUCGAUUCCGGAGAGGGAGCCUGAGAAACGGCUACCACAUCCAAGGAAGGCAGCAGGCGCGCAAAUUACCCAAUCCAGAAAAUGGGAGGUGGUGACGAAAAGUACUAAGUGGCGACUAGUUUGCCAGCUUGGAAUGAAUGCAAUUUAAGCAAUUGAAUUGAGUAACGACUGGAGGGCAAGUCUGGUGCCAGCAGCCGCGGUAAUUCCAGCUCCAGUAGCCUACCUCAACGUUGCUGCGCUUAAAACGCUCGUAGUUGGAUCACGGACUUUGCGUUGGUGUGUGUUCGGGUGCGUUUGUCUCUGGUUAGCUAAUCGGGGGCGGCGAUGUCCAGAACACCAUUAGCCGACGCUUAGUAAUUGCACGUAAGGAUGGCAGUUGGCCUUUAGUGCGUCGACGGUCGUGUCUUACGGGGUGUGCCUUGAGUAAAUCAGAGUGCUCAAAGCAGGCGAAUGCCUGAAUGUGAAUAGCAUGGAACGAACAAUCGUGUAGGGUGUGUGUUGAUUCCAGCGUGUUGUUUGACCGCUGCAACACACGACACCGACCGCCAAUUACGGAUGUUGGUUCCGUAUUGGGGUACUGAUUAAGAGGAGCGGUUGGGGGCAUUGGUAUUUGGCAGCGAGAGGUGAAAUUCUUAGACCUGCCAAGGACUAACAAAUGCGAAGGCAUUUGUCCAGACCGUAUCCAUUAAUCAAGAACGAAAGUGAGAGGUUCGAAAGCGAUCAGAUACCGCCCUAGUUCUCACUGUAAACGAUGCCGACCCGGGAUCAGUUUGGAGUUAUUUUCCACGCUCGAGGUUGGUCCCCCUGGGAAACCUUAAGUCUUUCGGUUGCGGGGGGAGUAUGGUCGCAAGGCUGAAACUUAAAGGAAUUGACGGAAGGGCACCACCAGGGGUGGAGCCUGCGGCUUAAUUUGACUCAACACGGGAAAACUUACCUGGUCCGGACAUCAAAAGGAUAGACAGACUAAUAGAUCUUUCUUGAUAUGGUGAUUGGUGGUGCAUGGCCGUUCUUAGUUCGUGGAGUGAUCUGUCUGGUUUAUUCCGAUAACGAGCGAGACUACAAUCUCCAAUUGAGGCGCUAGAGAAGACCGAAAAUGUGCCUAGGCCAGCGAUGGUUGAAGUGCAUUCGAGGUUGUAGGCAGUGUGUGAAGUGCAUACGGAUCACAAUCCCUCUAGCCAGACAGUGCGUUUCCCGCAUGGGUGGCGUAUUGUGUCAUGGAGAGACAACGGAACAUAUAACAAAAUCCGAGGAAGUGUGGCUAUAACAGGUCUGUGAUGCCCUUAGAUGUUCAGGGCUGCACGCGCGCUACAAUGACGAUGACAACGAG